UCCGGUGAACACGUUCCCGGGCCUUGUACACACCGCCCGUCAAGCCAUGGAAGUUGGGGUGCCUAAAGUCCGUAACCGCAAGGAUCGGCCUAGGGCAAAACCAGUAACUAGGGCU
RNAcentral lists this ribosomal RNA (115 nucleotides) under uncultured bacterium. RNAcentral describes it as "partial 16S ribosomal RNA". It matches the Rfam family "Bacterial small subunit ribosomal RNA", at positions 1358 to 1482 of the family's 1533-position model. The record is from RNAcentral.